Molecule: ribosomal RNA, 254 nt
Filed under: uncultured bacterium
Lineage: Bacteria
Description: partial 16S ribosomal RNA
Rfam family: Bacterial small subunit ribosomal RNA
Source: RNAcentral
CGGACGAGUGAGUAACGCGUGGAAAACCUGCCGUAUACUGGGGGAUAACACUUAGAAAUAGGUGCUAAUACCGCAUAAGCGCACAGCUUCGCAUGAAGCGGUGUGAAAAACUCUGGUGGUAUACGAUGGUUCCGCGUCUGAUUAGCUAGUUGGUGGGGCAAUGGCCUACCAAGGCAACGAUCAGUAGCCGGCCUGAGAGGGUGAAGGCCACAUUGGGACUGAGACACGGCCCAAACUCCUACGGAAGGCAGCAG